UCUGGGCGGUUUUGUGUGGUGGUUUUAUCAACUGGUGGUUACCUCUUCCUGAUGUUCACAGCGGUUUCAUAUGCACUCUCUCAUAGAAUCCUAUGGAUACCUUAUAUUAAGGACAAUUUUUGCAUUAUCAAAACCACGUACCCACGUAUACAAUCCACAACCACCUCCUGUGAACCCUUAUAUAAACACACAAAUUGUGAAAUUGGAGAAUAUCACAAAGAUCCCCCAUCUUCUCUACUUUCGAAGAUCAAAGGAACUUCAUCGCCGCUAGCUCCUCCACAUGAGGGUUUCUACAAAUGCAUCAGUUUUGUAUCAAUUUAGCCAAGCAGAACAGAGUAAACACUAUGGCAAAUUGCAAUGACAUUGAUGACCAGAUGAUGUUGACAACUAGAAGGAGAUGGAUGUUGAUGUUGAAGGGUAGUUAAUAGGAAAAAGUUGAUGAUGAUGAUGAAAAAUCGUGAAGUUUGUGAACCUUUUGGGGAUGUUGUUGAGGUCAGCUCAUAUGGUAAGGAUGGUGAGACAUAGCGAGACCAAUGAAGGUAAGGGUUUUGCAUUUAUGGCAUUUAGAAGUAAAAAUGUUGCUCAAAAGGCCAUUGAAGAGCUACAUAACAAAGAUUUUAAGGUAUAAAGCUAUAAACUUUUGCUCAUUUGUUAGGCAUUUUUUGGUUCUGGUACUCGGUUUUAUGAUGUUCUUUGCAGGGUACGAGCUUCAGAUAUUCACUUUUUGAAUAUAUAAAUCUGCUGACCAAUUCCUCACCUGACCCAUGGCCAUGUUGACCCGUGACCCGUUUAUGUCUGACCAGUUCAGGUCGGCUCUUUAUGUUAUCUGUAAAUCCGGAUGUUAGCAAGAUAAAGUCCAAUCUCACUCUGAAUUUGAAUCUAUUUCAAUGUUAUCUCGUCGGCUUUCUAUGAUAUGAUUUUAGUCAGUUUCAAUGUUCGUGAAAGAUAAGUUUACUUUCACUCUGUAUUUGAUUUCAAUUUGUUUUGCUUAAGUUUUUGUGUUUCCUUCAUCAUUUAUGGUUAUUUUGUUGCAAUUGAUCUAGGAGCAGUUUCUUUCCAUUUGGCCAAAGCCCAUUACUAGACCCUAAUAAUGAAAAUAGGCCAAAUGCAGAUUCUUGUGUUCAUUUUCUUUCUGUGCUAACUUGAUAUGGUUGUAAAGAGGAUGGUGUAGAUAUUUUGUUUGGGUGAAUGCACAAAGUCAUGUGGUCAUUUGGUCUUUUAUUUGGAUUAAUCAUUAUUGUUUGGAAUCUAGAAAAAAAAAUUAUAAGAGCAAACAUAUCUUUAUUCACUUAAUUAAUGUUGCUUUUUCUGAUCAUUUUAUGUGACAGCAAGUAGUGAACUGCUUGAUCAUUUAUAUGCAAACAACAGAGCAAGUCGGAGUUCCACAAAAUCAAGGCAAUUUCCUAAUUUGUAUUCUUUAUGUGUAACUAAGUUAUGUUGCUUUUUUAUGUAAGAUGAACCAUAUACUGUCGACUAAAAAAGAGGAGAGCCCAUCUAAGAUGAACCAUAUACCAUCGGCUGAAAAAGAGCAGAGCCCAGCCCAUAUAUGGUAAAUUAUUUUGCUUUUUAGUGAUAUGCUUGGUUGAUUAUGUGGGAAAACAUUAUAGUAAAAUGUUUAAUUUCAAGAUCUAAAUUUACUUCUGUCACAUUCCAUAUUAAUCUUUGUUUUCAGUGAUGAUUUAUAUAUACCUUAUUAUCAAAAGGGUCAGGUAUGUUUGGCCCAUACUAUUAUUUCUAUUAUUAUUGCUAUGUUAGAUAUAUCAAGGAGCAUGACAUUAAUCAUUGGAAUUAAAGGUCAAGCAUACCAUUAUACAAUAAGCUGGCCUGAAAUGCUUUUAAUAGAUCACCAUUUGCAACUUUCAAGCUAUCAACUGCCCCUUCUCUUGUAAGCUCAACAACUUGUAUGUCCACCUGAUCUCUUAUAUGACGGAGAAGCAAAAAAUGGCAUUAUGCUUGCUUGAUUACGUGGGAAAACAUUACACUCAAAACAUGUUCGAUAAGUUGGGUCCAUACUAAAUGAGUAAAUGGGUCCAACGGGUCAGAUGGGUAGCUUUACUAAAUUGGUAGAACGAUUAGUUUCUUCCAAACGGGUCAUUACAGUAAAAAAGGGUCAGGUAGGUUGGGUCCAUACUAAAUGGGUCCAACUGGUCCACUUUAUAGAAUGGGUCAGGCCAAUCAGCUUUAUAAAUUUGGCAGAACAAUCAUUUUCUUUCAAACGGGUUGAAUGGGUUUGUUCUCGUAAGGGUCAAACGAGAAAGAUUUUACUUGGGUAAUGGGUCAAACUGAGUUUUUUUUUUAUUUUUUUUAAUUAUGGGUCAAAGAAUGUCAAGUAAGUUGGUCAAAACGGGCCAGGUAGGUCGGGUUCAUAACAAAUGGGUCGAGUAGUUUAGCAUUAAAACCGAUUUGGCUACAUAAAGUUAAAAAAUUAGGGUGAGCUGUAGUUUUAAGGCCUCUGUUAUGCAUACUAUGUAGACAUUGUAAACACAUAUGUUAUUUUUAAAACACAAAAAUCUAGAUUAAUAUAAUGACUUGACAAAAGCAAAAUCAAUAAAUAUUUUUUACUAUGCGGAAGCAAUAAAUAUAUGAUUGUUUGACAAAUUCUGAUUGGGCGGCUCGAAAGGCAGCUGUUGAGGCAUUAGUUGCCUUAGCAUGGCAUUCAGCCACAACUUGAUCAUAGAUCCCAGUAACCGCCCUUGAGGAUUUCCGCUUUGAUAAGGUUAGUUUUGAAAUGUUACCCUCGAGAACCCAAAAAAAAAAGUCUACUCAAACAUAACAAAACAAAACAAGAAUUAAAGUUUUUUUGGUUGAAAUUCUAUCUGAAAAAGAGAGUAUAAUAAAGGCUUUGCAACUAUAGCAACAUCUUGCAGGAGUUUAUGAAGAUCAAAAAGCAGCAGGUCAUGGUGAGCACUAAAAAUAUUGUAAAACAAAAACAAAGUUUACUAAAAUGGUAGGACCAAUAGUAUUAAGUUAAUCGACCAUAUCUUUUUUUACACCAAGAAUGUUUUGGUUUAGAAUAAAAAGUAAAAUAUUUAUGUCACUAUGGCGUUCCGGACAGGUAUUAAACUAGAUGCACAUGGUAAUUAUUCAUAAACAUGUGAUUAUUUGUGUCAAAAUCUUCCUGUAACAUAACAGUAGUCUAGAACUCUUGCUUGCAGGGACAAAUGGACUUCUUUUAGACACCAUGUUUCAUAUAUGGCACUCAGGAGGAAUCGUGUGAGAACCAGACAACUGCAUGACGAUGAAUCAAGCCAUGCAUGAGCUUAUCUUCCACUCCAAGCGUUUUACCUAAUAGUCAACCAAUAAACUUGUCCAUAUGCCAAGAAGGGUUUUCCGAUCCACAGGCACUAUAGUGUACUUGAUGAAAUUAACCAUUUUACCCUCACCAUAAGAAGCUUAAAAGCUAGAGAGAAACUUGGGUUCAGUCCGUUAUCUCCCAAAAUUUGUUUUAUCAAAAAAGGUUAUUAUUCACGCUAAGGUUGGCCUAAUGUAUUUUCUUGUAAAAAGUUGUGUAUUGAGAUAUAUCAAGCCAUAUGUGUAUGUUUGUUGAACUUA
Molecule: long non-coding RNA, 3552 nt
Organism: Helianthus annuus (common sunflower)
Lineage: Eukaryota; Viridiplantae; Streptophyta; Magnoliopsida; Asterales; Asteraceae
Exons: 5
Source: RefSeq, a predicted model, not a curated record